UCUGGUACCUUCGGUGCCCGAGUUGUAAUUUGGAGAGGGCAACUUUGGGGCCGUUCCUUGUCUAUGUUCCUUGGAACAGGACGUCAUAGAGGGUGAGAAUCCCGUGUGGCGAGGAGUGCGGUUCUUUGUAAAGUGCCUUCGAAGAGUCGAGUUGUUUGGGAAUGCAGCUCUAAGUGGGUGGUAAAUUCCAUCUAAAGCUAAAUAUUGGCGAGAGACCGAUAGCGAACAAGUACAGUGAUGGAAAGAUGAAAAGAACUUUGAAAAGAGAGUGAAAAAGUACGUGAAAUUGUUGAAAGGGAAGGGCAUUUGAUCAGACAUGGUGUUUUGUGCCCUCUGCUCCUUGUGGGUAGGGGAAUCUCGCAUUUCACUGGGCCAGCAUCAGUUUUGGUGGCAGGAUAAAUCCAUAGGAAUGUAGCUUGCCUCGGUAAGUAUUAUAGCCUGUGGGAAUACUGCCAGCUGGGACUGAGGACUGCGACGUAAGUCAAGGAUGCUGGCAUAAUGGUUAUAUGCCGCCCGUCUUA
RNAcentral lists this ribosomal RNA (521 nucleotides) under Saccharomyces sp. RNAcentral's name for it is "partial large subunit ribosomal RNA". It matches the Rfam family "Eukaryotic large subunit ribosomal RNA", at positions 121 to 656 of the family's 3401-position model. Lineage: Eukaryota; Fungi; Ascomycota; Saccharomycetes; Saccharomycetales; Saccharomycetaceae. The record is from RNAcentral.